This 492-nucleotide ribosomal RNA is filed under the name uncultured bacterium. RNAcentral's name for it is "partial 16S ribosomal RNA". It matches the Rfam family "Bacterial small subunit ribosomal RNA", at positions 29 to 507 of the family's 1533-position model. The record is from RNAcentral.
AGUGGACGCUGGCGGUAGGCCUAACACAUGCAAGUCGAACGGCAGCACAGUAAGAGCUUGCUCUUACGGGUGGCGAGUGGCGGACGGGUGAGGAAUACAUCGGAAUCUACUUUUUCGUGGGGGAUAACGUAGGGAAACUUACGCUAAUACCGCAUACGACCUACGGGUGAAAGCAGUGGAUCUUCGGACCUUGCGCGAUUGAAUGAGCCGAUGUCGGAUUAGCUAGUUGGCGGGGUAAAGGCCCACCAAGGCGACGAUCCGUAGCUGGUCUGAGAGGAUGAUCAGCCACACUGGAACUGAGACACGGUCCAGACUCCUACGGGAGGCAGCAGUGGGGAAUAUUGGACAAUGGGCGCAAGCCUGAUCCAGCCAUACCGCGUGGGUGAAGAAGGCCUUCGGGUUGUAAAGCCCUUUUGUUGGGAAAGAAAAGCAGCAGGUUAAUACCCCGCUGUUCUGACGGUACCCAAAGAAUAAGCACCGGCUAACUUCGUG